Molecule: ribosomal RNA, 483 nt
Filed under: uncultured bacterium
Lineage: Bacteria
Description: partial 16S ribosomal RNA
Rfam family: Bacterial small subunit ribosomal RNA
Source: RNAcentral
UUGAACGCUGGCGGCAUGCUUUACACAUGCAAGUCGAACGGCAGCGCGGGCUUCGGCCUGGCGGCGAGUGGCGAACGGGUGAGUAAUACAUCGGAACGUGCCCAGUAGUGGGGGAUAGCUCGGCGAAAGCCGGAUUAAUACCGCAUACGACCUGAGGGUGAAAGCGGGGGAUCUUCGGACCUCGCGCUAUUGGAGCGGCCGAUGGCAGAUUAGCUAGUUGGUGGGGUAAAGGCCUACCAAGGCGACGAUCUGUAGCGGGUCUGAGAGGACGACCAGCCACACUGGGACUGAGACACGGCCCAGGCUCCUACGGGAGGCAGCAGUGGGGAAUUUUGGACAAUGGGCGAAAGCCUGAUCCAGCAAUGCCGCGUGUGUGAUGAAGGCCUUCGGGUUGUAAAGCACUUUUGGCGGGAACGAAAAGGACUGUGCCAAUACCACGGUUCGAUGACGGUACCCGCAGAAUAAGCACCGGCUAACUACGUG